Molecule: ribosomal RNA, 464 nt
Filed under: Vreelandella stevensii
Lineage: Bacteria; Pseudomonadati; Pseudomonadota; Gammaproteobacteria; Oceanospirillales; Halomonadaceae
Description: partial 16S ribosomal RNA
Rfam family: Bacterial small subunit ribosomal RNA
Source: RNAcentral
CCUACGGGAGGCAGCAGUGGGGAAUAUUGGACAAUGGGGGAACCCUGAUCCAGCCAUGCCGCGUGUGUGAAGAAGGCCCUCGGGUUGUAAAGCACUUUCAGUGAGGAAGAACGCCUGGUGGUUAAUACCCAUCAGGAAAGACAUCACUCACAGAAGAAGCACCGGCUAACUCCGUGCCAGCAGCCGCGGUAAUACGGAGGGUGCGAGCGUUAAUCGGAAUUACUGGGCGUAAAGCGCGCGUAGGUGGCUUGAUAAGCCGGUUGUGAAAGCCCCGGGCUCAACCUGGGAACGGCAUCCGGAACUGUCAAGCUAGAGUGCAGGAGAGGAAGGUAGAAUUCCCGGUGUAGCGGUGAAAUGCGUAGAGAUCGGGAGGAAUACCAGUGGCGAAGGCGGCCUUCUGGACUGACACUGACACUGAGGUGCGAAAGCGUGGGUAGCAAACAGGAUUAGAUACCCUUGUAGUC